AUUGCCUCAGUAACGGCGAGUGAAGCGGCAAGAGCUCAAAUUUGAAAGCUGGCUCCUCCGGGGUCCGCAUUGUAAUUUGGAGAGGAUGCUUCGGGUGCGGCCCCCGUCUAAGUGCUCUGGAACGGGCCGUCGGAGAGGGUGAGAAUCCCGUCUGGGGCGGGGAGCCCCGUGCCCGUGUGAAGCUCCUUCAACGAGUCGAGUUGUUUGGGAAUGCAGCUCUAAAUGGGUGGUAAAUUUCAUCUAAAGCUAAAUACAGGCCGGAGACCGAUAGCGCACAAGUAGAGUGAUCGAAAGAUGAAAAGCACUUUGAAAAGAGAGUUAAACAGCACGUGAAAUUGUUGAAAGGGAAGCGCUUGCAAUCAGACUCGCCCGCGGGGUUCAGCCGGCAUUCGUGCCGGUGUACUUCCCCGUGGGCGGGCCAGCGUCGGUUCGGACGGCCGGUCAAAGGCCCCCGGAAUGUAGCGCCCCCCGGGGCGUCUUAUAGCCGGGGGUGCCAUGCGGCCAGUCUGGACCGAGGAACGCGCUUCGGCACGGACGCUGGCGUAAUGGUUGCAAGCGACCCGUCUUGAAACACGGACCAAGGAGUCUAACAUCUACGCGAGUGUUUGGGUGGCAAACCCAUGCGCGCAGUGAAAGCGAACGGAGGUGGGAACCCCCCCGGGGGGUGCACCAUCGACCGAUCCUGAUGUCUUCGGAUGGAUUUGAGUAUGAGCGUAGCUGUGGGGACCCGAAAGAUGGUGAACUAUGCCUGAAUAGGGCGAAGCCAGGGGAAACUCUGGUGGAGGCUCGCAGCGGUUCUGACGUGCAAAUCGAUCGUCAAAUUUGGGUAUAGGGCGAAAGACUAA
This 845-nucleotide small RNA is filed under the name Xeromyces bisporus. RNAcentral's name for it is "LSU rRNA". It matches the Rfam family "Eukaryotic large subunit ribosomal RNA", at positions 74 to 934 of the family's 3401-position model. Lineage: Eukaryota; Fungi; Ascomycota; Eurotiomycetes; Eurotiales; Aspergillaceae. The record is from RNAcentral.